UCCCAUAUGAUCUAGUGGUUAGGAUUUGGCGCUCUCACCGCCAAGGCACAGGUUCAAUUCUCGGUGUGGGAA
RNAcentral lists this transfer RNA (72 nucleotides) under Saccoglossus kowalevskii. RNAcentral's name for it is "tRNA-Glu". It matches the Rfam family "tRNA". Rfam says of the family: Transfer RNA (tRNA) molecules are approximately 80 nucleotides in length. Their secondary structure includes four short double-helical elements and three loops (D, anti-codon, and T loops). The record is from RNAcentral. Lineage: Eukaryota; Metazoa; Hemichordata; Enteropneusta; Harrimaniidae.